Molecule: long non-coding RNA, 623 nt
Filed under: Marmota monax (woodchuck)
Lineage: Eukaryota; Metazoa; Chordata; Mammalia; Rodentia; Sciuridae
Source: RNAcentral
CCCACCUCUCCCUCUCUGUCCCUGGGCUGUCCCUACUUAUCUCCAUUCCACCCCUGCUCCCUCAGAGGCUGCCAGCUGCUUGCUGCCUGAUCACCUUUAAGCUGCCCUUCCCACUUCUUGGCCCAGCAGCUCCUGUCCAUCAAUAUGCUCUCAGCUCUCAUGACACUUCCUCUGAGAAGCCCAUUCUGACUGCCACCUAGGAACACCCUGACCCUCUCUCUCCUCUGUUUCCUCAACCAUUUCUGAAUUCAUCCUAUUUCUUCAUCAGUUUACUUGUCCUUGCUCAGUCUCUCCUUCUAGACUGUGGGCUCCAAGAGGGUAGGGGGCCUUCCUUGUGCUCACUGUUGUCUCCCCAGCUCCCCCAGGAUUGGAAAGGAGGGCUUGGGAGCUGUGGAAAAGUCAUAGGGUGAGGAUAUAAUGAGAAGUGGGUCAACUGCAACCUGAGGGAGGGCCCUCACCAUAUCCUGCCAUCCUGGUCCCCUGAUCUUGGCCUGCCAGCCUCCAGAUCUGUGAGAAAUCAGUUUCUGAUGUUUCAAAGCCACACCGUUGAAGGUCGUAGUUACAACUGCCUCCACUGAUUCAGACCUGGGCAAUGUGAGCCAGGCUUGGGUACUGCACUCUGG